ACACUCCUACGGGAGGCAGCAGUGGGGAAUAUUGCACAAUGGGCGCAAGCCUGAUGCAGCCAUGCCGCGUGUAUGAAGAAGGCCUUCGGGUUGUAAAGUACUUUCAGCGGGGAGGAAGGCGAUAAGGUUAAUAACCUUGUCGAUUGACGUUACCCGCAGAAGAAGCACCGGCUAACUCCGUGCCAGCAGCCGCGGUAAUACGGAGGGUGCAAGCGUUAAUCGGAAUUACUGGGCGUAAAGCGCACGCAGGCGGUCUGUCAAGUCGGAUGUGAAAUCCCCGGGCUCAACCUGGGAACUGCAUUCGAAACUGGCAGGCUAGAGUCUUGUAGAGGGGGGUAGAAUUCCGGGUGUAGCGGUGAAAUGCGUAGAGAUCUGGAGGAAUACCGGUGGCGAAGGCGGCCCCCUGGACAAAGACUGACGCUCAGGUGCGAAAGCGUGGGGAGCAAACAGGAUUAGAUACCCGGGUAGUCCCAUG
RNAcentral lists this ribosomal RNA (475 nucleotides) under uncultured organism. Its description in RNAcentral is "partial 16S ribosomal RNA". It matches the Rfam family "Bacterial small subunit ribosomal RNA", at positions 333 to 799 of the family's 1533-position model. The record is from RNAcentral.